RNAcentral lists this small nucleolar RNA (150 nucleotides) under Spermophilus dauricus (Daurian ground squirrel). RNAcentral describes it as "Small nucleolar RNA U3 (ENSSDAG00000016421.1)". It matches the Rfam family "Small nucleolar RNA U3", at positions 67 to 219 of the family's 219-position model. Rfam says of the family: Small nucleolar RNAs (snoRNAs) are involved in the processing and modification of rRNA in the nucleolus. There are two main classes of snoRNAs: the box C/D class, and the box H/ACA class. The record is from RNAcentral. Lineage: Eukaryota; Metazoa; Chordata; Mammalia; Rodentia; Sciuridae.
GUACCGGAAACCACGAGGAGGAGCUGAGUGGUCUCUCCUGAGCGUGAAGCAGGCUCUGGGUGUUGCUUUUUUCGUAACUGCCCUUUGCCAUUGAUGAUCGUUCUUAAUCCUCCUUGGAGAUUAAGAGGGAGAGAACACUGUCUGAGUGGU